Molecule: small RNA, 255 nt
Filed under: Drosophila pseudoobscura pseudoobscura
Lineage: Eukaryota; Metazoa; Arthropoda; Insecta; Diptera; Drosophilidae
Description: GA31573
Source: RNAcentral
GGGGAGCUAAAUUUUAUUUUAGCUAGAACGCGAAAGCGCCAAUUACGUGCAACGGCUGACGACAAGUCGGGGGAGACCGACGUCACCUAGUUGUUGUUGUUGUGUUUGCACUUACACUAGCACACACACAAGCGAACACCCCGUGAGGGAGGGAGAAAUUCACGCAGAACAUGUUUUUGCAAUAGUUUUUGUGGAGAGGCGAGGCGUGCAAAUAAAUUAACACAAACGCGAAAUACUACAACAAUACAAAAAAAA